CUCAUGUGACCUGUGGUUUAGCUGCACUCGAUGCUGGAAAAACCCAGAGACACGCAGCACAUUCGCAGAAGGGUUGGGGGACAUUCAGAAGCGUGCAGCAUAGCGAAAGCACGUCUAGAAAUGAAUCAGAGCAUCGCAGAAUGACAUAUCAAAAAGCCUGACAGUUCAUCAAAAAACUCUAAUCUAAAGACUUCAUUGUCCCAUCUGAGAAACCCAGAAGACAUCCAGGAGUUCCCGGCCCGCCUGUAGACAUAUUCAGAUAUUGAUCAACCGGGGCCGGGUCUCGGGGGCAACAGUCUUAGGAGAGAACCCCAGACUUCCCUCUCCCUAUACACGUUCUCCAGCUCCUCCGGGGAGAUCCUGAGGCGUUCCUAGGCCAGCUCAGAGGCAUAGUCCCUCCAGCGUGUCCUGCGUCUUCCCCGAGGCCGCCUCACGGUGGGACAUGCCUGGAACACCUCCCUAGGUAGGCGUCUAGGAGGCAUCCGAAACAGAUGCCCGAGCCACCUCAGCUGACUUCUCUCGAUGUGGAGAAGCAGCGGCUCUACUCCGAGCUCCUCGCCCUAUCCCUGAGAGUUCGCCCUACCACCCUUUGAAGGAAACUUUUGAAGCCAACAGAACAACAUCGUCUGCAAAUAACAGAGAUGAAUUUCGAACUGGACCUCCUCCAGCCCAAUGCUGCACCUUGAAAUUCUGUCCAUAAAAAUUCUGAAUAGAAUUGGUGACAAGGGCCAGCCCUGCCAGUGGAAACAAAUCUGACUUAUUGCUGACAAUGCGAACCAGACUCCUACUCUGUUCAUACAGGGACGAGACGACAAGUUUUAAACUUACAAUUGAUUAUAAAAGACAGAACUGUAAAUUGCUGUACACGCACAAGCAGCGGAAUUUUUAAUUUGCUCCUGAAUCCGCUGCAAAUUGCUGCUUUUUCUUUGACACUUGUGUUUCCCAUGGCCCGUUGGAAAAUAUCUUUAUAUUAGGCUACUGUUCGGCCUGGAUCCAUCUCCCGAUUAUUCCAUUCGAAGUUUACAGCUUUAACUCUCAGGGUUCGAAGACCGCGUAUACAUGUUUGAAGCGUCUUCUUUCAGUUUUGAUCGUACAGAUAAGAUCAAUACAUCAAUCAAAUCUGUUAAGUGUCUAAUUUUUAUUGUGUGCACUCACAAUGACAACAAACGUGUGUGCUUUUGCAAAAUAUAGAUAAUAAACAGUGUAGGCAAUCUGUCUUUUCUCUCUCCGUGAACCAUUUUUAAAAACGCGUCAGUAAGUCAUUCUUUAAGAAAACCUACUUCCUUAUAUCAGUCAGUGCUUAUAUAUAGAAAGAAAGAUAGAAUGCGCAUAUAGAUAGAUAGAUAGAUUAGUUGCACACACACAUAUAUACAUAUACA
Molecule: non-coding RNA, 1379 nt
Organism: Danio rerio (zebrafish)
Lineage: Eukaryota; Metazoa; Chordata; Actinopteri; Cypriniformes; Danionidae
Source: RefSeq, a predicted model, not a curated record